AUUGAACGCUGGCGGCAUGCUUUACACAUGCAAGUCGAACGGCAGCGCGGGCUUCGGCCUGGCGGCGAGUGGCGAACGGGUGAGUAAUGCAUCGGAACGUGCCCAGUAGUGGGGGAUAGCCCGGCGAAAGCCGGAUUAAUACCGCAUACGACCUGAGGGUGAAAGCGGGGGACCGAAAGGCCUCGCGCUAUUGGAGCGGCCGAUGUCGGAUUAGCUAGUUGGUGGGGUAAAGGCUUACCAAGGCGACGAUCCGUAGCUGGUCUGAGAGGACGACCAGCCACACGGGGACUGAGAAACGGCCCAGACUCCUACGGGAGGCAGAGGUGGGAAAUUUUGGACAAUGGGGGCAACCCUGAUCCAGCCAUGCCGCGUGCGGGAAGAAGGCCUUCGGGUGGUAAACCGCUUUUGUUGGGGAAGAAAGCCUCUGGGCUAAUACCCCGGGGGGAUGACGGUACCGGAAGAAUAAGCACCGGCUAACUACGU
This 483-nucleotide ribosomal RNA is filed under the name uncultured bacterium. RNAcentral's name for it is "partial 16S ribosomal RNA". It matches the Rfam family "Bacterial small subunit ribosomal RNA", at positions 29 to 506 of the family's 1533-position model. The record is from RNAcentral.